This 2902-nucleotide ribosomal RNA is filed under the name Escherichia coli O104:H4 str. 11-4632 C2. Its description in RNAcentral is "bacterial LSU rRNA". It matches the Rfam family "Bacterial large subunit ribosomal RNA". The record is from RNAcentral. Lineage: Bacteria; Pseudomonadati; Pseudomonadota; Gammaproteobacteria; Enterobacterales; Enterobacteriaceae.
UUAAGCGACUAAGCGUACACGGUGGAUGCCCUGGCAGUCAGAGGCGAUGAAGGACGUGCUAAUCUGCGAUAAGCGUCGGUAAGGUGAUAUGAACCGUUAUAACCGGCGAUUUCCGAAUGGGGAAACCCAGUGUGAUUCGUCACACUAUCAUUAACUGAAUCCAUAGGUUAAUGAGGCGAACCGGGGGAACUGAAACAUCUAAGUACCCCGAGGAAAAGAAAUCAACCGAGAUUCCCCCAGUAGCGGCGAGCGAACGGGGAGCAGCCCAGAGCCUGAAUCAGUGUGUGUGUUAGUGGAAGCGUCUGGAAAGGCGCGCGAUACAGGGUGACAGCCCCGUACACAAAAAUGCACAUAUUGUGAGCUCGAUGAGUAGGGCGGGACACGUGGUAUCCUGUCUGAAUAUGGGGGGACCAUCCUCCAAGGCUAAAUACUCCUGACUGACCGAUAGUGAACCAGUACCGUGAGGGAAAGGCGAAAAGAACCCCGGCGAGGGGAGUGAAAAAGAACCUGAAACCGUGUACGUACAAGCAGUGGGAGCACGCUUAGGCGUGUGACUGCGUACCUUUUGUAUAAUGGGUCAGCGACUUAUAUUCUGUAGCAAGGUUAACCGAAUAGGGGAGCCGAAGGGAAACCGAGUCUUAACUGGGCGUUAAGUUGCAGGGUAUAGACCCGAAACCCGGUGAUCUAGCCAUGGGCAGGUUGAAGGUUGGGUAACACUAACUGGAGGACCGAACCGACUAAUGUUGAAAAAUUAGCGGAUGACUUGUGGCUGGGGGUGAAAGGCCAAUCAAACCGGGAGAUAGCUGGUUCUCCCCGAAAGCUAUUUAGGUAGCGCCUCGUGAAUUCAUCUCCGGGGGUAGAGCACUGUUUCGGCAAGGGGGUCAUCCCGACUUACCAACCCGAUGCAAACUGCGAAUACCGGAGAAUGUUAUCACGGGAGACACACGGCGGGUGCUAACGUCCGUCGUGAAGAGGGAAACAACCCAGACCGCCAGCUAAGGUCCCAAAGUCAUGGUUAAGUGGGAAACGAUGUGGGAAGGCCCAGACAGCCAGGAUGUUGGCUUAGAAGCAGCCAUCAUUUAAAGAAAGCGUAAUAGCUCACUGGUCGAGUCGGCCUGCGCGGAAGAUGUAACGGGGCUAAACCAUGCACCGAAGCUGCGGCAGCGACGCUUAUGCGUUGUUGGGUAGGGGAGCGUUCUGUAAGCCUGUGAAGGUGUACUGUGAGGUAUGCUGGAGGUAUCAGAAGUGCGAAUGCUGACAUAAGUAACGAUAAAGCGGGUGAAAAGCCCGCUCGCCGGAAGACCAAGGGUUCCUGUCCAACGUUAAUCGGGGCAGGGUGAGUCGACCCCUAAGGCGAGGCCGAAAGGCGUAGUCGAUGGGAAACAGGUUAAUAUUCCUGUACUUGGUGUUACUGCGAAGGGGGGACGGAGAAGGCUAUGUUGGCCGGGCGACGGUUGUCCCGGUUUAAGCGUGUAGGCUGGUUUUCCAGGCAAAUCCGGAAAAUCAAGGCUGAGGCGUGAUGACGAGGCACUACGGUGCUGAAGCAACAAAUGCCCUGCUUCCAGGAAAAGCCUCUAAGCAUCAGGUAACAUCAAAUCGUACCCCAAACCGACACAGGUGGUCAGGUAGAGAAUACCAAGGCGCUUGAGAGAACUCGGGUGAAGGAACUAGGCAAAAUGGUGCCGUAACUUCGGGAGAAGGCACGCUGAUAUGUAGGUGAAGCGACUUGCUCGUGGAGCUGAAAUCAGUCGAAGAUACCAGCUGGCUGCAACUGUUUAUUAAAAACACAGCACUGUGCAAACACGAAAGUGGACGUAUACGGUGUGACGCCUGCCCGGUGCCGGAAGGUUAAUUGAUGGGGUCAGCGCAAGCGAAGCUCUUGAUCGAAGCCCCGGUAAACGGCGGCCGUAACUAUAACGGUCCUAAGGUAGCGAAAUUCCUUGUCGGGUAAGUUCCGACCUGCACGAAUGGCGUAAUGAUGGCCAGGCUGUCUCCACCCGAGACUCAGUGAAAUUGAACUCGCUGUGAAGAUGCAGUGUACCCGCGGCAAGACGGAAAGACCCCGUGAACCUUUACUAUAGCUUGACACUGAACAUUGAGCCUUGAUGUGUAGGAUAGGUGGGAGGCUUUGAAGUGUGGACGCCAGUCUGCAUGGAGCCGACCUUGAAAUACCACCCUUUAAUGUUUGAUGUUCUAACGUGGACCCGUAAUCCGGGUUGCGGACAGUGUCUGGUGGGUAGUUUGACUGGGGCGGUCUCCUCCUAAAGAGUAACGGAGGAGCACGAAGGUUGGCUAAUCCUGGUCGGACAUCAGGAGGUUAGUGCAAUGGCAUAAGCCAGCUUGACUGCGAGCGUGACGGCGCGAGCAGGUGCGAAAGCAGGUCAUAGUGAUCCGGUGGUUCUGAAUGGAAGGGCCAUCGCUCAACGGAUAAAAGGUACUCCGGGGAUAACAGGCUGAUACCGCCCAAGAGUUCAUAUCGACGGCGGUGUUUGGCACCUCGAUGUCGGCUCAUCACAUCCUGGGGCUGAAGUAGGUCCCAAGGGUAUGGCUGUUCGCCAUUUAAAGUGGUACGCGAGCUGGGUUUAGAACGUCGUGAGACAGUUCGGUCCCUAUCUGCCGUGGGCGCUGGAGAACUGAGGGGGGCUGCUCCUAGUACGAGAGGACCGGAGUGGACGCAUCACUGGUGUUCGGGUUGUCAUGCCAAUGGCACUGCCCGGUAGCUAAAUGCGGAAGAGAUAAGUGCUGAAAGCAUCUAAGCACGAAACUUGCCCCGAGAUGAGUUCUCCCUGACUCCUUGAGAGUCCUGAAGGAACGUUGAAGACGACGACGUUGAUAGGCCGGGUGUGUAAGCGCAGCGAUGCGUUGAGCUAACCGGUACUAAUGAACCGUGAGGCUUAACCUU